Molecule: non-coding RNA, 328 nt
Organism: Schizosaccharomyces pombe (fission yeast)
Lineage: Eukaryota; Fungi; Ascomycota; Schizosaccharomycetes; Schizosaccharomycetales; Schizosaccharomycetaceae
Source: the annotation of a GenBank genome assembly
UGGAUCAGGAGUCGUUGUACAAAAGAAAGAAUCUGUGAUAAAUUCAUUAUUCAUUUCAUUUAAAGAAAAAUCUCUAGAAAAGGUUCCCUUCAUCUGGCUUGCUUCUGUUUGAUUCAUCGGUUUACCAUCAGAAUAAUAGUAUUCUACCGGCUCAAAGAAAUGGGAUCCAAGGUUUGAGCCGACGCCCUUUCCUUGCUCAAACCUUUCAUUGUCGUUAGAGGAAAUACUUUCAGAUCCGGUGUUUACUGGUAUCGACUCCUGCUUUUUGUUCACAUUCAUAAGGCCUAUAAGGUUUCUCACGAUUCUCAAAAAGCAAAAUUCUGUUCAA